This 1221-nucleotide ribosomal RNA is filed under the name Lorelus crassicornis. Its description in RNAcentral is "SSU rRNA". It matches the Rfam family "Eukaryotic small subunit ribosomal RNA", at positions 32 to 1195 of the family's 1831-position model. Lineage: Eukaryota; Metazoa; Arthropoda; Insecta; Coleoptera; Tenebrionidae. RNAcentral also lists the same sequence under 1 other name. The record is from RNAcentral.
UUGUCUCAAAGAUUAAGCCAUGCAUGUCUCAGUACAAGCCAAAUUAAGGUGAAACCGCGAAAGGCUCAUUAAAUCAGUUAUGGUUCCUUAGAUCGUACCCACAUUUACUUGGAUAACUGUGGUAAUUCUAGAGCUAAUACAUGCAAACAGAGCUCCGACUGGAGACGGAAGGAGCGCUUUUAUUAGAUCAAAACCAAUCGGUGGCGGUUUAAUCCGUCAUCGUACAAUUUGGUGACUCUGAAUAACUUUAUGCUGAUCGCACGGUCUCGCACCGGCGACGCAUCUUUCAAAUGUCUGCCUUAUCAACUGUCGAUGGUAGGUUCUGCGCCUACCAUGGUUGUAACGGGUAACGGGGAAUCAGGGUUCGAUUCCGGAGAGGGAGCCUGAGAAACGGCUACCACAUCCAAGGAAGGCAGCAGGCGCGCAAAUUACCCACUCCCGGCACGGGGAGGUAGUGACGAAAAAUAACGAUACGGGACUCAUCCGAGGCCCCGUAAUCGGAAUGAGUACACUCUAAACCCUUUAACGAGGAUCAAUUGGAGGGCAAGUCUGGUGCCAGCAGCCGCGGUAAUUCCAGCUCCAAUAGCGUAUAUUAAAGUUGUUGCGGUUAAAAAGCUCGUAGUCGAAUCUGUGUCCCGCGCCGCCGGUUCAUCGUUCGCGGUGUUAACUGGCGUGCCGCGGGACGUCCUGCCGGUGGGCUUAGCUCGCAAGGGCGGCCCAACUCAAUCCCGCCGCGGUGCUCUUCAUUGAGUGUCGAGGUGGGCCGGCACGUUUACUUUGAACAAAUUAGAGUGCUUAAAGCAGGCUAAAACUUUGCCUGAAUACUGUGUGCAUGGAAUAAUGGAAUAGGACCUCGGUUCUAUUUUGUUGGUUUUCGGAACCCCGAGGUAAUGAUUAAUAGGAACGGAUGGGGGCAUUCGUAUUGCGACGUUAGAGGUGAAAUUCUUGGAUCGUCGCAAGACGGACAGAAGCGAAAGCAUUUGCCAAAAACGCUUUCAUUGAUCAAGAACGAAAGUUAGAGGUUCGAAGGCGAUCAGAUACCGCCCUAGUUCUAACCAUAAACGAUGCCAGCUAGCGAUCCGCCGACGUUCCUCCGAUGACUCGGCGGGCAGCUUCCGGGAAACCAAAGCUUUUGGGUUCCGGGGGAAGUAUGGUUGCAAAGCUGAAACUUAAAGGAAUUGACGGAAGGGCACCACCAGGAGUGGAGCCUGCGGCUUAAUU